GUUAUAGUUUCAGAUAUAUAUCAUAUUGGUAUUCACUAAUCUGGGAAGGGAAGGGCUACUGCAGCUUUACAUGCAAUUUAUUAAAAUGAUUGUAAAAUAGCUUGUAUAGUGUAAAAUAAGAAUGAUUUUUAGAUGAGAUUGUUUUAUCAUGACAUGUUAUAUAUUUUUUGUAGGGGUCAAAGAAAUGUUGAUGGAUAACCUAUAUGAUUUAUAACGUGUGCAAGCAUUCAUACAGGCAGCAAUGGUCUCAGAAACCAAACAGGUUUGCUCUAGAGGAAGAGAGAAUUGGAGACUGGCCCUGUGCACCAUGAAGGUUACUGAGGCUCUCUCCCAUUCAGAUUGGAGAGGAAGUAAUCCUCUGCCUCCCAGAAUGACCACCCUCUUCAUUCCAACAGUGCGUCUGUCUGCACAGGUUUAGUUUACUAAAUCUCCCCUUGCGCUAAAGUGUGUUAACAGGACAGAAAGGUGGUGCUUACACACUUACAGGCACCAUCACAUUCAGCCUCCCCAACAGUUUAACAGUUUGGCAAUAAUAUGCAUAGAGGUACCAGCAAUAUGUAAAUAGUGCAGAAUCUCAUAGGCUGCCAAUAAUACACUAAUUCCUUUCUAUACUAUAAGAGUUCAUUUCCUAAUAAAAUGAGGACAUGUUUAUGUUUUCUUUGAAUGCUUUUUGAAUGUUGUUAUUUUUCAGUAUUUGGAGGUUAUUUAAUAAAAAUGUAAUCAUUUGCUUUUUGAAUGCUCUCUAAAAAGGGAAUACUCCUUUUGUAAUUCUUUAAAUUGAUCUCAAAGUAUUUUAAAAUGAUUUGUAACCCAGCUGGAUGUGAAAUUUUUGGUGCCUAAGAAAUACUGCUUGAAUAUUAUCAGUGAUAGUGUUAAGUUUCAAAAAGAGCUUCUGAAAGAUAAAUUAUUAAUCAUUUAUAGAGUAUUAUCUGGUUAAAAUCAGAAGGCGUACCACACAUUAAUCUUAAUUUUUAGCCCCAACAACCUUGGCUCCCAAAAAAUCGAGCUCAAUGAAUAAAGACAAGUGCACUUUGUUGUUAAAAGGAAAUGGACUGACAUUCAUGAAACUAUAGGAAGCUGUACAUUAAAUGGAAAAAGAAGCCGUGACCUUUUAGAAAAUGUAGGAAAGAAGAAAUUUACCUUAAUUGUGUGUGAGUGUAAUUAUGGACUUAAGUGAAGAAAGCUAUGGUGCUAUCUGAAAGGAGCUUCAUUUUCUAUAUAUUUGGUAUGUUGCCAUCCCAAACUAUAAGUGUAUAGUAACUUUAGUGACAGGUGACAUGCAUAGAUGAGUCACAACAAAUCCUGAAAAGUAUUUUUAAUUACUGGUGGGAAAAGGGACCCUCUCUGUGUUUUUAGGUCUUGCUAUAGGAUACAAGACAAGUGUUUUGGGGAUAUAUAUUUAUACCCAAUUGUCUAAAACUAUGUGAGGGGAACCUAAAAGUGCACCUGCCUUCUCCUGGGGGAAAAAAAAAUAACACAGCAAAAGGAAAACAUAUGAUUAGUGUCUAUGAAGAACUUUGUAUUUAGCAUAGGAUGAGCUCUGGAUACAUAUAUAAAGGAAAGCCAGGCUCACUUCAGAAUUGAGGAAUGGGAGAAUGAGCAACUCCAAUUUUACAUAUCCACCAAUACAACCAGUUAUCAUUAAGUCUUAUCGUUUUAGUUCUCUGUUAAAUAUCCUAAAACUACAUCACCAUGGAAUGGACAUCAUUAUUAUACUUUGAUCUGUCAAAAGUUAAGAACUGUGACAGACAGCCCUCAGUAAGAUUUUGAUCUUGCUAGAUCACUGAAAGGACUGCAGCUGUAUAUGAAUGUGUUUUUCUGUGCCUGGUUUGAGAAUUAGAAGAGAAACUAAGAGUGGAAGGAGGACAUGUUAACCACUUGGAAUGGAAGUUUAUCGUUUUCCAGACUAUGGUCAGUCAGCCUGGUCCACCAAGGAUUAGUGACCCGGUUUUUGGGAAAGGAUUAGCUUCUCUCUAGCAAAUGCCUGAAAGAAGGAUUUUAUUUUCUGACGAAAGGCUGUAUGAAAAUACCCUCCUCAAAUAACUUGCUUAACUACAUAUAGAUUCAAGUGUGUCAAUAUUCUAUUUUGUAUAUUAAAUGCUAUAUAAUGGGGACAAAUCUAUAUUAUACUGUGUAUGGCAUUAUUAAGAAGCUUUUUCAUUAUUUUUUAUCACAGUAAUUUUAAAAUGUGUAAAAAUUAAAACCAGUGACUCCUGUUUAAAAAAUAAAAGUUGUAGUUUUUUAUUCAUGCUGAAUAAUAAUAUGUAGUUUAAAAAAAAGUGUCUUUUUACCUACGCAGUGAAAUGUCAGACUGUAAAAUCUUGUGUGGAAAUGUUUAACUUUUAUUUUUCAUUUAAAUUUGCUGUUCUGGUAUUACCAAACCACACAUUUGUACUGAAUUGGCAGUAAAUGUUAGUUAGCCAUUUACAGCAAUGCCAAAUAUGGAGAAACAUCAUAAUAAAAAAAAAAUCUGCUUUUUC
RNAcentral lists this long non-coding RNA (2480 nucleotides) under Bos taurus (domestic cattle). RNAcentral describes it as "long non-coding RNA NONBTAT023398". Lineage: Eukaryota; Metazoa; Chordata; Mammalia; Artiodactyla; Bovidae. The record is from RNAcentral.